GUGUCUUAAUGUAAUUAAGAAAAAAGGUAUAUUAGUACUGACACUAGCUUAUAAAUGACUUGUCAGAAAAAGGUGAAUAAUUUACUUGUAAGAAAAAUAAUUUUGAAAUUAAAUUGUUAGUAAUUUUUAAUAAAAAUAAUCUUAGACUAUAGUUAAAAGUACUGUAAAGGAAAGUAUAAAAAUUUGAAAUAGUAAGUUUAAAAUUCUGUACCUUGUGUAUCAGGGAAAGUUUAUAUAGGUUAAUGAUAUUAAACAUCUCGAAAUAAAAGAUAGCUAAUUUUAUAAAAAAUUUCUUGUAGAAAAUAAAUUUUGAAUAUAAAAUUAAAGGUGAAACGCUAAUCGAGUUUUAUAAUAUCUAGUUUUUUAAAAAUAAAUUUAAUUUAAUUUUUGCGUAGAUAAGAUGUAAAAGUAAAGUGUAGGAGGGAUUAGCUUCUUAUAAAAUAAAGUGAUUAACAGUUUGAAAAGUAAUAGUUGGUGAAUUAAGCUUAAAAGUAGCUAUAUUAAUAAAGUGUUCUAAUUAAAUCAAAGCUAGAUAACAUUUGUAAAAACUUUUUGUAGUAUUAAAAAAUUAAUUUAAAUUAAAAAAGUUAAAUUAUAAUGACUUUAUUAGUAAAAAUUUGUUGUAAACAUAAACAAUAAAAUAAUAAAAAUUAUCUAAAAUUAAUUUGGUAAUAUAAAGGAACUCGGCAAAAGUUAUUUCUUUGCCUGUUUAUCAAAAACAUGUCUGUUUGAAGUUAUAAAAAGUUUAACCUGCCCACUGAUGAAUAAAUAAAAGUUGAAUGGCCGCGGUAUCUUGACCGUGCAAAGGUAGCAUAAUCGUUAGUUUUUUAAUUGGAAUCUUGUAUGAAUGGUUGGACAAAAGAAAAUCUGUCUUUAUAUUGUUAAUUGAAUUUAACUUUUAAGUGAAAAGGCUUAAAUACAUUAAAGGGACGAUAAGACCCUAUAAAGCUUAAUAUUAAAAUUUUAUUUAGUUAAAUUAUACAUUAUAAAAACUCAGUAAUUAAAUUUAUUUUAUUGGGGCGAUAAGAGUAAAAUGAUUGUUAACUGCUUAAUUUUUGAUACAUCAUAGAUGAUUAAAUUUUUGAAUGAUCCUAGUUGAAGAUUUAAAGUUUAAGUUACUUUAGGGAUAACAGCGUUAUUUUUUUUGAGAGUGCUUAUCGAAAAAAAAGUUUGCGACCUCGAUGUUGAAUUAAAAUGUCUUUAUAAUUGCAGCAGUUAUAAAAGUAGGUCU
This 1231-nucleotide ribosomal RNA is filed under the name Paragrapsus laevis. Its description in RNAcentral is "partial 16S ribosomal RNA". Lineage: Eukaryota; Metazoa; Arthropoda; Malacostraca; Decapoda; Varunidae. The record is from RNAcentral.